RNAcentral lists this ribosomal RNA (735 nucleotides) under uncultured fungus. Its description in RNAcentral is "eukaryotic LSU rRNA". The stretch from base 1 to 190 matches the Rfam family "Eukaryotic small subunit ribosomal RNA", at positions 1644 to 1831 of the family's 1831-position model. The record is from RNAcentral. Lineage: Eukaryota; Fungi.
AUUACGUCCCUGCCCUUUGUACACACCGCCCGUCGCUACUACCGAUUGAACGGCUUAGUGAGGCCUUCGGAUUGACUUUGGGGAGCCGGCAACGGCACCCUAUUGUUGAAAAGUUGAUCAAACUUGGUCGUUUAGAGGAAGUAAAAGUCGUAACAAGGUUUCCGUAGGUGAACCUGCGGAAGGAUCAUUACUGAAGAUACUAGGGUUUUGAGACUGCGUCUAAAGCGGACGCGUGCUCGACUCUUACUCUUUAUCCACACACACCUCUGUGCACUAUGGUAUGCAAAAUCCCCCUUUUCACAUAAAACCGAGUUAUAUGCAUGUCUAUUUUAUGCUCUACGGAGUAAUAUACAACUUUCAACAACGGAUCUCUUGGCUUUCGCAUCGAUGAAGAACGCAGCGAACGUGCGAAACGUAAUGUGAAUUGCAGAAUUCAGUGAAUCAUCGAAUCUUUGAACGCAUCUUGCGCUCCUUGGCAUUCCGAGGAGCAUGCCUGUUUGAGUGUCGUGAAAUACUCAAUUUCAACCAUUUUGUUUGAAAUUGGAUAUGGAUGUUGUUGUGGCAACACAACUCGCCCUAAAUGCAUUAGCGAUCUGGCCUCGAUCACGUACAGUGUGAUAAGAAGAAAAGCAUUGUCGGUUCGAGUCAAAAAGUCGCUUCUAACUGUCCAAAGACAAAUCAUUUAUGUCAUUUGACCUCAAAUCAGGUAGGACUACCCGCUGAACUUAAGCAUAU